GCAGCUUUCGACGCCGCAGAUGUCCUCGGCGGCACGACCUCCGAGAUCAGGGAGCGCCCACGGCGCGCUCAGAAAUCUCGGAGGCGGCGUGCCGGCACAUACGCCAUAGCGACAACCACCAGGUGCAUUCGUCGUCUGCUUGAGCUGUAGUUUAGAGGCUGAUAACAAGAAAACUGUGCAAUCACCAGCCCUGCCACUUUGCCAACAUAGCUUUAUUGGCACACACUACUCACACAUAACAAAUUUAGCCAAAGUGAUAUUUCGUGGCAGUUGGUCUUUCACGUCCCAAAGCAACACCGAUUUAUUUUCUUAUCUGAUUUUUUUUGUUUCUCAGCUUGGUAUAUAUGUAUGUUCCUUUGUAUGUAUGCACAGUCAACCACAAGAGGUUACGGACCACGGGAUAUCAGAAAACAUUCCAACUGCUGAGCAGCCUGUAAUAGUAGUCAGUAAAACCGAACAUCAAUGCUGUUCACAUAUAAUGGUAGAGGCUGUAAAUGCGCAUACUAGGCUGCGCAGAUAUUCAGCUUCUUCUCAGAUCUCGUGUACCGUCAAAUAUUGUGGCUGACUGUACGUGCAACCAAAGCAAAGAACACGAGCGUUUUCGCAUUUACGAAUAGCGGCGGCCGCGAAAAUCGAACCUCGCGCUCAGCCUCAGAACACCACAGCGGGCCAGCACGGUGGAUAAAAUAAGGAAAAAAAAAAAAAGAGAUUGGAGUAUCAAUUAUUAAACGCGAAGGAAUAACUAAAAAAAAAUAUGAAAACGAAUCAAACUAAAUCUGGUAGAAAGGAACGAAAACAUUUAAGGUCAGCUGACGCGCAGCUGCGCGAGUUCUUCCUUUUAAAUGUUUUCGUUUUACUCUCCGACAGCCGCUAGAAAUAGCGCGCUCGUAAAGAUUUUACUGCGCAGCCAGACGACCCCCCUUAUGCAAAGGAAGGGAAAAAGAAAAAAAAUUUUUACUUUUGUAGGGUUAGUUAGCCCGAGGCGUGCCGAUUGUUCACGCAUGGCGGGCACGCUACCUUUAACGACUCCCAUGCUAAGGUCAGUGCGCAUCCAUCGUAAAUCAUGUGAAUCGACUAAACCGAACACGUAGCGAGCGUGGCCAUCAACGGCUGUAAUCACUGCCAGGUUAUCGCCAUGAAGGCGUCAAGGUUUCAACAAGGGCACGCAUUAAGACGGGACGAAAGAAGGCUGACACAGGAGAAGUGCGUCUUCUGGGGCUCCCGGCGAAUUCUUGUGUUCCUUCUAACUUCGACAUGACACCACUGCACUAUCGGACUACGGCAAGGUGAGAAACCUUGUUCGACAGUCUGCGAUG
Dermacentor andersoni is the source of this 1316-nucleotide long non-coding RNA. RefSeq lists it as uncharacterized. The record is from RefSeq and is a predicted model, not a curated record. Lineage: Eukaryota; Metazoa; Arthropoda; Arachnida; Ixodida; Ixodidae.